CUGCGGAAGGACAUUGU
RNAcentral lists this ribosomal RNA (17 nucleotides) under Lycium californicum. RNAcentral's name for it is "partial 18S ribosomal RNA". The record is from RNAcentral. Lineage: Eukaryota; Viridiplantae; Streptophyta; Magnoliopsida; Solanales; Solanaceae.